UACAGAGGGGGCAAGCGUUGUUCGGAAUUACUGGGCGUAAAGGGCGCGUAGGCGGCCUGCUAAGUCGAACGUGAAAUCCCUGGGCUCAACCCAGGAACUGCGUCCGAUACUGGUUGGCUUGAAUCCGGGAGAGGGACGUGGAAUUCCAGGUGUAGCGGUGAAAUGCGCAGAUAUCAGGAGGAACACCGGUGGCGAAGGCGGGUCUCUGGGCCGAUACUGACGCUGAGGAGCGAAAGCGUGGGGAGCGAACAGG
This 253-nucleotide ribosomal RNA is filed under the name uncultured bacterium. RNAcentral's name for it is "partial 16S ribosomal RNA". It matches the Rfam family "Bacterial small subunit ribosomal RNA", at positions 524 to 776 of the family's 1533-position model. The record is from RNAcentral.